GAUGAACGCUGGCGGCGUGCUUAACACAUGCAAGUCGAACGGAAAGGCUCCUGCUUGCAGGGGUACUCGAGUGGCGAACGGGUGAGUAACACGUGGGUGAUCUGCCCUGCACUUCGGGAUAAGCCUGGGAAACUGGGUCUAAUACCGGAUAGGACCACAUUUUGGAUGGUGUGGUGGAAAGUUUUUCGGUGUGGGAUGAGCUCGCGGCCUAUCAGCUUGUUGGUGGGGUAAUGGCCUACCAAGGCGUCGACGGGUAGCCGGCCUGAGAGGGUGUACGGCCACAUUGGGACUGAGAUACGGCCCAGACUCCUACGGGAGGCAGCAGUGGGGAAUAUUGCACAAUGGGCGCAAGCCUGAUGCAGCGACGCCACGUGGGGGAUGACGGCCUUCGGGUUGUAAACUCCUUUCGCUAGGGACGAAGCGUUUUUGUGACGGUACCUGGAGAAGAAGCACCGGCUAACUACGUG
RNAcentral lists this ribosomal RNA (467 nucleotides) under uncultured bacterium. RNAcentral's name for it is "partial 16S ribosomal RNA". It matches the Rfam family "Bacterial small subunit ribosomal RNA", at positions 28 to 507 of the family's 1533-position model. The record is from RNAcentral.